RNAcentral lists this long non-coding RNA (253 nucleotides) under Actinidia chinensis (golden kiwifruit). RNAcentral describes it as "long non-coding RNA (ACHI_LNC001875)". Lineage: Eukaryota; Viridiplantae; Streptophyta; Magnoliopsida; Ericales; Actinidiaceae. The record is from RNAcentral.
UUAAGAUAGACAACAUAUUUUUUUUUUAAUAAUUGAGUAUCCAACAAUUAACGGCAAUGAUUUUCACAAUUUUCUUCUCUUUCAAUACACUCUUUUUUCAUUUUUAUUAUCCAAAAUUAUAAAAAAAAAUCUUGUAUUUACAUUUUUCGAUUUUCUGUUGUUCAGAACUCCUAACUACAAACAAUGACACCUUCGUAAUUUUAAAAAUAUAGAUAAUGCAUUUUGUGUAAUGCAUAUUUGCUUACAUGUAUUG